GGCGGCAUGGCCGAGUGGUAAGGCGGAGGACUGCAAAUCCUUGUUCCCCACUGUGGGGUCCUGAAGCACAAGGGGAUUUUGCCA
RNAcentral lists this transfer RNA (84 nucleotides) under Spinacia oleracea (spinach). It matches the Rfam family "tRNA". From Rfam's summary of the family: Transfer RNA (tRNA) molecules are approximately 80 nucleotides in length. Their secondary structure includes four short double-helical elements and three loops (D, anti-codon, and T loops). The record is from Rfam by way of RNAcentral. Lineage: Eukaryota; Viridiplantae; Streptophyta; Magnoliopsida; Caryophyllales; Amaranthaceae.